GACGAACGCUGGCGGCGUGCUUAACACAUGCCAGUCGAACGGAAAGGCCCUGCUCUUGUGGGGUGCUCGAGUGGCGAACGGGGGAGUAACACGUGAGUAACCUGCCCUUGACAUUGGGAUAACUUCAGGAAACUGGGGCUAAUAUCGGAUAGGAGCUCCUGCUGCAUGGUGGGGGUUGGAAAGUUUCGGCGGUUGGGGAUGGACUCGCGGCUUAUCAGCUUGUUGGUGGGGUAGUGGCUUACCAAGGCUUUGACGGGUAGCCGGCCUGAGAGGGUGACCGGCCACAUUGGGACUGAGCUACGGCCCAGCAUCCUACGGGAGGCAGCAGUGGGGAAUAUUGCACAAUGGGCGGAAGCCUGAUGCAGCAACGCCGCGUGCGGGAUGACGGCCUUCGGGUUGUAAACCGCUUUCGCCUGUGACGAAGCGUGAGUGACGGUAAUGGGUAAAGAAGCACCGGCUAACUACGUG
Molecule: ribosomal RNA, 468 nt
Filed under: uncultured bacterium
Lineage: Bacteria
Description: partial 16S ribosomal RNA
Rfam family: Bacterial small subunit ribosomal RNA
Source: RNAcentral